Molecule: long non-coding RNA, 334 nt
Filed under: Malus domestica (apple)
Lineage: Eukaryota; Viridiplantae; Streptophyta; Magnoliopsida; Rosales; Rosaceae
Description: long non-coding RNA (MDOM_LNC020085)
Source: RNAcentral
UUGUAAAAACACAAGAGUCCACAACUUCAUGUAAUUACAACUAGAACCCAAAAUUUUAAAAAAUAAUAAAAACAUCAUUAAAGGAGCAAAACAAUUUGUCCUUUAGAGUUUUUGGGCCUUAACGUAAAAACGUAAACUUUUGGGCCAAAAUCACCCCCCACUUGGGGUUGGCCGGUUUUAGUAGUGAAAAGGAGUGUGAAAGGGUUUUGGUGAUAAAUGUGCAUGCAAGUGGAAUAGGUGUUGGAAAUGUGCCCUAAAGACAAUCAUAUGAUGAUACUUUACGGACAUUUUACAUGUUAAACUAAUCUAGUUUAACUAUAAAGGGCAAAGAUUA